AGUGAACGCUGGCGGUAGGCCUAACACAUGCAAGUCGAACGGCAGCACAGUAAGAGCUUGCUCUUACGGGUGGCGAGUGGCGGACGGGUGAGGAAUACAUCGGAAUCUACUUUUUCGUGGGGAUAACGUAGGGAAACUUACGCUAAUACCGCAUACGACCUACGGGUGAAAGCAGGGGAUCUUCGGACCUUGCGCGAUUGAAUGAGCCGAUGUCGGAUUAGCUAGUUGGCGGGGUAAAGGCCCACCAAGGCGACGAUCCGUAGCUGGUCUGAGAGGAUGAUUCGCCACACUGGAACUGAGACACGGUCCAGACUCCUACGGGAGGCAGCAGUGGGGAAUAUUGGACAAUGGGGGCAAGCCUGAUCCAGCCAUACCGCGUGGGUGAAGAAGGCCUUCGGGUUGUAAAGCCCUUUUGUUGGGAAAGAAAAGCAGCAGGUUAAUACCCCGCUGUUCUGACGGUACCCAAAGAAUAAGCACCGGCUAACUUCGUG
This 491-nucleotide ribosomal RNA is filed under the name uncultured bacterium. RNAcentral's name for it is "partial 16S ribosomal RNA". It matches the Rfam family "Bacterial small subunit ribosomal RNA", at positions 29 to 507 of the family's 1533-position model. The record is from RNAcentral.